CUAGGCUACGCUAAUGACAUGACUCACUAGCAGCUUGUGAAAGGUUGGCUCGAUAGGUGCUUGAGAGAAGACAACCUAUUUUGGGUUGGUUUUGGCCCGCGAGGACUAGGGGUAUGAUUAAUAGGGAUAGUUGGGGGCAUUAAUAUUUAAUUGUCAGAGGUGAAAUUCUUGGAUUUAUGAAAGAUUAACUUCUGCGAAAGCAUCUGCCAAGGAUGUUUUCAUUAAUCAAGAACGAAAGUUAGGGGAUCGAAGACGAUCAGAUACCGUCGUAGUCUUAACCAUAAACGAUGCCGACCAGCGAUUAGGAGACGUUGAAUACAAAACACCACCAUCGGUGCGGUCGUCCUUGGCGUCUGGGUUUCGGGCCCGGUGCGGGGACGGCUUAGCCCGGUGGCACCGGUGAAUGACUCCCUAGCAACUUGUGAGAAAAUAGCUGUCCCCUUCUGGGAAAAUUUCAAAAAACGGCGAGGGAUAACUUCCUGCUGGCCCCGGGACUGCUAUAGCGGCGCUUGGCCCCGUCUUAAUUUAAUUUAGCGCCCGCCCCCGCCGGCUUUUUUUUAAGAAGGAUGUGAAAGCCCACCCUCAACUAAGGGAUGAAAGACUGAAACAGGAGGCUAAACUCCAAAAAAGAAAAUUGAAUUUACAUCUCUGGCUUUCAAAUACAUAUAGAUAAACUAAACACAAAAGGCAACUGCAACUUUAUAUUUUGCCCUUAGCUCAGACCUGCGAAGCGUAGACAACAGAAUAUCCUUUAAUUUCUCACCCCCCACACUACGAGACAAAAUCUGAGAGGAGUUAGACCCUUUCCUCCCCCUUCCCCCCGCAGCACA
This 830-nucleotide ribosomal RNA is filed under the name Acanthamoeba polyphaga. Its description in RNAcentral is "partial 18S ribosomal RNA". The stretch from base 1 to 363 matches the Rfam family "Eukaryotic small subunit ribosomal RNA", at positions 739 to 1116 of the family's 1831-position model. The record is from RNAcentral. Lineage: Eukaryota; Discosea; Longamoebia; Acanthamoebidae.